Molecule: unclassified non-coding RNA, 200 nt
Filed under: soil metagenome
Description: partial contains internal transcribed spacer 2 and large subunit ribosomal RNA
Source: RNAcentral
ACUUGCUUUUGAGUGGAACUGGGGGCAACAGUCUUUACGGCUGUUCCCCUUAAAAAUAUUAGGCCUGAACUUGUUUUGUCUGCCUGAACUUUUUUUAAUAUAAAGGAAAGCUCUUGCCAACUAAAACUUUAUUGGGGCCUCCCAAAUAAAUCUAUCUUAAAUUUGAUCUGAAAUCAGGUGGGAUUACCCGCUGAACUUAA